RNAcentral lists this long non-coding RNA (642 nucleotides) under Vigna radiata. Its description in RNAcentral is "long non-coding RNA (VRAD_LNC013329)". Lineage: Eukaryota; Viridiplantae; Streptophyta; Magnoliopsida; Fabales; Fabaceae. The record is from RNAcentral.
UGGAGUUUUAGGAAGAUAUAAGAGUACCACUAGUGCAAAAUAUACUUGUUAGAAAAGAAAUGCCUUAUAUCUCAAGCCAAAAGGGGGGUGAAUUGGAUUAUGCCUUAAAAACAUUAUCUUUUCAAAAGCUUUGUAAAAUCUUUGGUUUUCUUGAAAUUAAAAAAACAAGAAGUGAUGAAUCAACAAUAAAAGAGAAAUAAUAGAGAGAAAGAUCAACACAAACAAUCUACAGGUUCGGAUAAUCCCAAGCCUACAUCCAGUCCUCCUUCAACAAAUCUUUAUUGAAGGGAAUCCACUAUCAAUUGAUUGAGUUUACAUAAAUACGGAGAUACCUCUUUCAAUGCACUUCUCACCACACUCAAAAUCCAAUAUAACAAACAAGAGAUGAAUACCCUCACCUCUUACAACACUUGAGAACACUCAAACCUCUCAAACCCCUGGCCAACACACGCAAGUAGACAUACAAACCGCCGAUGAUGAUCCUGAUAGUCACACUCCUUUUGGUGCAUAUGAAAUCAAAACAGUUCAACCCAUUUUCUUGAAAGAAUCUUGAUGUGUAAGUAACCCAAUUUGAACCUUGAUUCUUCAAGACACUUCUUCAAUGCUUUUAUAAUCAAAACUUAAUGAAACAGUUAGUAUAUG